GAUGAACGCUGGCGGCGUGCCUAAUACAUGCAAGUCGAGCGAACAGACGAGGAGCUUGCUCCUCUGACGUUAGCGGCGGACGGGUGAGUAACACGUGGAUAACCUACCUAUAAGACUGGGAUAACUUCGGGAAACCGGAGCUAAUACCGGAUAAUAUAUUGAACCGCAUGGUUCAAUAGUGAAAGACGGUUUUGCUGUCACUUAUAGAUGGAUCCGCGCCGCAUUAGCUAGUUGGUAAGGUAACGGCUUACCAAGGCGACGAUGCGUAGCCGACCUGAGAGGGUGAUCGGCGACACUGGAACUGAGACACGGUCCAGACUCCUACGGGAGGCAGCAGUAGGGAAUCUUACGCAAUGGGCGAAAACCUGACGGAGCAACGCCACGUGAGUGAUGAAGGUCUUCGGAUCGUAAAACUCUGUUAUUAGGGAAGAACAAAUGUGUAAGUAGCUAUGCACGUCUUGACGGUACCUAAUCAGAAAGCCACGGCUAACUACGUG
This 497-nucleotide ribosomal RNA is filed under the name uncultured bacterium. RNAcentral describes it as "partial 16S ribosomal RNA". It matches the Rfam family "Bacterial small subunit ribosomal RNA", at positions 28 to 507 of the family's 1533-position model. The record is from RNAcentral.